AGAGUUUGAUCAUGGCUCAGAUUGAACGCUGGCGGCAUGCUUUACACAUGCAAGUCGAGCGGCAGCGCGGGGGCAACCCUGGCGGCGAGCGGCGAACGGGUGAGUAAUGCAUCGGAACGUGUCCCGUAGUGGGGGAUAACCCGGCGAAAGCCGGACUAAUACCGCAUAUGCUCUACGGAGGAAAGCGGGGGAUUCGCAAGAACCUCGCGCUAUGGGAGCGGCCGAUGUCCGAUUAGCUUGUUGGUGGGGUAAUGGCUUACCAAGGCGACGAUCGGUAGCUGGUCUGAGAGGAUGAUCAGCCACACUGGGACUGAGACACGGCCCAGACUCCUACGGGAGGCAGCAGUGGGGAAUUUUGGACAAUGGGGGCAACCCUGAUCCAGCCAUGCCGCGUGCGGGAAGAAGGCCUUCGGGUUGUAAACCGCUUUUGUCCGGAAAGAAAAGGCACCCCCUAAUACGGGGUGUUCUUGACGGUACCGGAAGAAUAAGCACCGGCUAACUACGUGCCAGCAGCCGCGGUA
This 521-nucleotide ribosomal RNA is filed under the name uncultured Pseudomonadota bacterium. RNAcentral's name for it is "bacterial SSU rRNA". It matches the Rfam family "Bacterial small subunit ribosomal RNA", at positions 8 to 522 of the family's 1533-position model. Lineage: Bacteria; Pseudomonadati; Pseudomonadota. The record is from RNAcentral.